GACGAACGCUGGCGGCGUGCUUAACACAUGCAAGUCGAACGGAAAGGCCCUGCUUUUGUGGGGUGCUCGAGUGGCGAACGGGUGAGUAACACGUGAGUAACCUGCCCUUGACUUUGGGAUAACUUCAGGAAACUGGGGCUAAUACCGGAUAGGAGCUCCUGCUGCAUGGUGGGGGUUGGAAAGUUUCGGCGGUUGUGGAUGGACUCGCGGCUUAUCAGCUUGUUGGUGGGGUAGUGGCUUACCAAGGCUUUGACGGGUAGCCGGUCUGAGAGGGUGACCGGACAGGUGGGGACUGACACACGGCCGAACCUCCUGCGGGAGGCAGCAGUGGGGAAUAUUGCGCAGUGGGGGAAACCCUGAUGCAGGGACGGCGCGUGAGGGAAGAAGUAAUUCGGUAUGUAAAGCUCUAUCAGCAGGGAAGAAAAUGACGGUACAUGAGUAAGAAGGCACGGCCAACUACGUG
This 463-nucleotide ribosomal RNA is filed under the name uncultured bacterium. Its description in RNAcentral is "partial 16S ribosomal RNA". It matches the Rfam family "Bacterial small subunit ribosomal RNA", at positions 28 to 507 of the family's 1533-position model. The record is from RNAcentral.